This is an RNA transcript of Pogoniulus pusillus (Red-fronted tinkerbird), 1877 nucleotides long. It is a transcript of the gene named protein disulfide-isomerase TMX3-like, with no coding region annotated. NCBI's taxonomy places the organism in Eukaryota, Metazoa, Chordata, Aves, Piciformes, Lybiidae. The transcript has 7 exons. The record is from RefSeq and is a predicted model, not a curated record.
GCUGCUGGGGAAGUCAUGAGCUACCUGUGGGGCGAGCUGACCAUCCGUACUACCGUCGCCUUGAAUGCCUCCAACCAGCAGUGUUUGCUGCCAGACAGACACCUUGAGAAGACAGAGGACAUGGUUAAGUUCAUGAAGGAUAUCUUGGAUGGUGCUGCUGAAGCACAGGCUGGUGAUGGACUUCUGCAACGAAGCAAGAGAGUCAUCUAUGAGGCCAAGGCUGCUGUAAUGUCUGUCCCAGUCCUCUGUCAGCCUCCCAGACAAGAAAUCUCUGCUCCUGUUGAGGCGGAGCAGCUUCUGUCUGUUGUUACUUGUCCUAGUGCUGAGCACCACCAAGCAGCAGCUGGGCCCUUGGUGCUGACCCCUGCCCCUUGGUAAUGUAUAGACGUUCAUGAGAUCCCUUCUCUUCCCCCGACUAAACAGCUCCCCCCCCUCCUCUUCACUCCCCCCCCCACCUCUUCUCUCCCCCCCUCUUCGCUCUCGCCCCCCCCUCCUCUCUCCCCCCCCGCCCCCCCUCUUCGCUCUCCCCCCCACCCCCCUCUUCGCUCUCCCCCCCACAAUAACGAGAGCCACACCAGAGGCCAGAGCUGUGCUGUCUCAGCAAGCAAAGGGCAAAGGAGGCAACGAGAUGCUGUAGGGACUCUGACUCUUGCUGCCAGGCUGCAACAAGAGGAAGGGAGAUUCUGGCCCCCAACAGGUGAAAACAAGAGAGGAGCAAGGCAGGAAGCACAAAAGCAAACCUCUCUCAUGAAGGAAACAGCACAACUUCAAGCACAGCUUUCAGCACAGCAUACCAAGGAGGAACAGAAAUCCCAAGCAGAGCAGAGGGGAGGAGUGGCUUAGAGAAAAGCAAAAGCACCCCACAAAGCACACAGCCAAAACACCACCCCACAAAGGACACAGCCAACCUACCCCCGCAAAGGGGAGCAGCCAAAGGCUUCUGCCUCUCCUGGGGCAACUUAAAAAGGGGAGGUCAAUUGAAGUCUCCUCCCACCCCAGCUGUGGCCACUUUGCCCUCCCUGCUCAGUGCCCUUUAUAAGCAGAGCAGGAGGAGCCCAGCCCCAAGCUGGGCCCAUUGCGGGCCAAGGGAUCCUCCGCCUGGCAUCCCAGGAGGUUGGAUCCUCGAGGGUUUUGCUCUGGGUUCUGCGAUGGAGGCAAAGAUGGAGCAGGAGCACCAACUGGAGCUGGUAAUGGACCAGCAGCAGCAGCUGGUAAUGGAACUGGUAAUGGAGCAGAAGCUGGUAACGUAGAGUGGAGAGGAGGAGGAGGAAAGCAGCAGAGACUGCCCGGGGGAAGGCAGAGAGUGGGGGAGGAUGGCAGGGGCCCCUCAGAAAUUGACAGGGGGGGAAAAUCCCCAACCCAUGGAUGUUCUCUUGGUUGUCUUUAAUAGAUAAACAAAGAGCAAGUGCGACUGAAAGAGCUUUGCAGAAAGCAGGAGUCAGCCACCUGCCACCCAUCCCCUCCUGAUCCCAACCCCAGAAACCCAAAGCAGCACUUGGCACAGGAGGUCUCUCGUGUUGCAGUCUCACCUUCACGCCCUGGAAUACUUUGCUUCAGCCAGCAGCAUGGGGUUGGAUACCAACAGCAGAGUCGACUUAACCUGUGACUAAGUGGACUUUAAGUGUUCUGACUCCACAGUAGAACUUGAUAAAGAAAGAUGUGAAUGGAAGCAGGCUCUGACUGCUCUGUGUAACUGAUGAGAAGCUUUCUGAAGGAGGUGAAUUUGUUUUACAGCCCUUCACUCAGCUGGUUACAGAUCUUCAAGGUAGCUGCUGGUGCAGUGUCUGUUGGAGACUGUUAGCCACUCUGAAGGAGGGAGUUAGUGGAGCAUCAUAGGAACAUGUAGAGAGAUUGGUCAGUAAAAGGCAUUUGUGUUA